GACUACUGGGGUAUCUAAGCCUGUUCGCUCCCCACGCUUUCGCUCCUCAGCGUCAAUAACGGCCCAGAGACCUGCCUUCGCCAUUGGUGUUCUUCCCGAUAUCUACACAUUCCACCGUUACACCGGGAAUUCCAGUCUCCCCUACCGCAUUCUAGCCUGCCCGUACCCGGCGCAGAUCCACCGUUAAGCGAUGGACUUUCACACCGGACGCGACAAGCCGCCUACGAGCUCUUUACGCCCAAUAAUUCCGGAUAACGCUUGCACCCUACGUAUUACCGCGGCUGCUGGCACGUAGUUAGCCGGUGCUUAUUCGAAAGGUACACUCACUUACGCUUGCUCCCUAACAAAAGAGGUUUACAACCCGAAGGCCGUCAUCCCUCACGCGGCGUCGCUGCAUCAGGCUUGCGCCCAUUGUGCAAUAUUCCCCACUGCAGCCACCCGUAGG
This 445-nucleotide ribosomal RNA is filed under the name uncultured Bifidobacterium sp. Its description in RNAcentral is "partial 16S ribosomal RNA". The record is from RNAcentral. Lineage: Bacteria; Bacillati; Actinomycetota; Actinomycetes; Bifidobacteriales; Bifidobacteriaceae.